Trichosurus vulpecula (common brushtail) is the source of this 107-nucleotide small nuclear RNA. NCBI's taxonomy places the organism in Eukaryota, Metazoa, Chordata, Mammalia, Diprotodontia, Phalangeridae. The record is from RefSeq and is a predicted model, not a curated record.
UCAUUUGCUUUUGCAGUGCAUAUACUAAAAUUGGAAUGAUACAGAGAAGCUUAACAUGAUCCCUGUGCAAAAAUGACAAUGAAAUUUGUGAUGUGUUUCAUAUUUGU